CUGGCUCAGGACGAACGCUGGCGGCGUGCCUAAUACAUGCAAGUCGAGCGGAUGAUAAAGGAGCUUGCUCCUUUAGAUUCAGCGGCGGACGGGUGAGUAACACGUGGGCAACCUGCCUGUAAGACUGGGAUAACUUCGGGAAACCGGAGCUAAUACCGGAUAACUCUUCGAACCUCAUGGUUCGAAGAUAAAAGAUGGUUUCGGCUAUCACUUACAGAUGGGCCCGCGGCGCAUUAGCUAGUUGGUGAGGUAACGGCUCACCAAGGCGACGAUGCG
RNAcentral lists this ribosomal RNA (276 nucleotides) under Schinkia azotoformans MEV2011. RNAcentral's name for it is "Bacillus azotoformans MEV2011 partial 16S ribosomal RNA". It matches the Rfam family "Bacterial small subunit ribosomal RNA", at positions 19 to 283 of the family's 1533-position model. The record is from RNAcentral. Lineage: Bacteria; Bacillati; Bacillota; Bacilli; Caryophanales; Bacillaceae.